Betta splendens (Siamese fighting fish) is the source of this 1787-nucleotide long non-coding RNA. RefSeq lists it as uncharacterized. The record is from RefSeq and is a predicted model, not a curated record. The transcript has 4 exons. Lineage: Eukaryota; Metazoa; Chordata; Actinopteri; Anabantiformes; Osphronemidae.
UUCAGAGUCAGCUACAGUCAAAGCACAGUCGCUCAUCAGUGGAGAUCUCAUCAGGUUAUGAUGAUGUUGUGCAUGAAGCUAACAACAGACUUAGAGCUGCUUCUACGAGUCGUCCUCCACCGCAUCCAUCUUCACUGGAACAUGGAGCUUUUCCUGUUUCACCGUGUGCUUGGCCCAGUGUGCAGAAGUAACAGAUCCGCAGACAAACUGUAGCUGCUUCCUUCAAGCCUCCUUCACAUGCAGCUCAACCGGACCUGACAUCAGCUCAAUCAAGUUUCUCCCAGGAGAAAGUCCGUUUGAUGCUCCUCCAGGACGACUCGGUUCUGUUCAGCCACUGGAUGAUUCUGGCUGAGGGUGAUGUCAGGUUCCUGGAUCACGCGCACGCGCGCGCACACACACACACACACACACACACAGCUGGAAGCAUGACCUUUAGAGGUAAACUGGUCACGUUUCCAAAAGCUGGAAGUAAAAAGAGUCAGUCUGUGAUUUUUCUGGGAUGUGUGACCAUCGGCUGCUCCAUCUCCCAAAUAAAACGGGCUUUGUAUCGACAGAGCUCAAAGCGGGAUUUCUCCUGGAGAUUAGGAGGAGAACAGAGAGCCGGGGGAUUAUUAUUAAGGCAGCAGACAGCAGCCACGAAGCCCCUUCUUUACCUCCCUUAUGCCGUUUGUAAAGCACAUUUGCUUCAGUCCUGGAAGUUUCAUCCUCUGCAGAUUAGCUUUGCAUUUCGUGCACGCGGGAGCGUCCGUGUUUACAGGCGCUGCAGAAAAUGAAGACAGGUAAUCUCUCUGCUGAGGAUGUUUGCUGACGAUGCAGCUGUCCCAUCGGGUCCAUCUCUCCUGGUCCAAAGGCAGCGGCUCCGUUUCCCCAGUGUUGCUGUGUUUUGUCUGUGAUCUAAUAUUGGGAGCGUCUCAUCGGCUCUGGCUCUGGGUGGGACGGCACCUUGACGAGGUCCAGGCUUUGCUGCCUCAGGAAGGACUUCACUAGUUUAUGUCUGUGCAGAUUCUGUCCAUCUCCGUCCUAAGGCUUUGACUGGACUGUCGCUACGUCAGGAUCAGAGCUGAUGGUCUCAUGCAGCCACACACUCUCCACCAUCACCUCAUUAAACAAUGAUGCGGAGCCACGCCACCUCCUGGAUACGGUUGCACAGCUCAGGGCCAAGCGAGGCAGGUCUGUGUGGACGUGCAGAACGGCAGGCAGCGCCAGGCACAGGUCGCUGGAAACAGACUUACAGGACCUCCCGGCAGGCGCCGUCGCUCUGCUGCAGGAGAUUAUGUGACGAUGACACCCUCGCCUCCUCGUCUUCCCGGAAACAAGCCCCACUGCAGCUUUCAGACAAGGCCUUUGAGGCCGACCUGCGGUUCACUGAACGAGAGCUUUGCUUGACCCAGAGGUCCACAAACCGACAGACAGAGAUAUUUAAAUUGCAGCAGCUGUUGAGCACCGUCUCCUGAGAGGUUCCUGAGCAACUACUGUAAACUGAGAGUGUGGCGGCAGCGAACACGUUUUGGAUGAAGACGUUCAGGAAACAGGCUGGUGUUCAGUGGUUGGAGCGUUUGGAGAACAGUUGGGAACAAUGGUGGUUCUGCCGUCUUGACGCUUGGCAGACGCUGAAAACAGGCUGCGUUUGGCUCCACUCAUCGGUCGAACCCGAUGCUUCUGAUGCUUCUCCAGACGUGAGCCGUCGUCCGUCGCUGCCUGUCGCGCUGCCAGAGCUGAAGCCUUCAGGGCUCUGGAGCCCAAGCGUUAAACCGACCUGUGUGCAGUCCAUGCGUCCUGUGAGUUUG